GACUUGACAUCCGGGAUUUCUGGAAGCAGAGAAGUGCUUUAGCAAUAAGACCCGGUGACAGGUGCUGCAUGGCUGUCGUCAGCUCGUGUCGUGAGAUGUUGGGUUAAGUCCCGCAACGAGCGCAACCCUCGCCUUUAGUUGCCAGCAUUCAGUUGGGCACUCUAGAGGGACUGCCGGUGUCAAACCGGAGGAAGGUGGGGAUGACGUCAAGUCCUCAUGGCCUUUAUGUCUAGGGCUACACACGUACUACAAUGGCCGGUACAAAGGGCAGCCACUCAGCGAUGAGGCGCUAAUCCCAUAAAGCCGGUCUCAGUCCGGAUCGCAGUCUGCAACUCGACUGCGUGAAGUUGGAAUCGCUAGUAAUCGUAGAUCAGCAUGCUGCGGUGAAUACGUUCCCGGGUCUU
RNAcentral lists this ribosomal RNA (404 nucleotides) under uncultured Desulfovibrio sp. Its description in RNAcentral is "bacterial SSU rRNA". It matches the Rfam family "Bacterial small subunit ribosomal RNA", at positions 978 to 1382 of the family's 1533-position model. The record is from RNAcentral. Lineage: Bacteria; Pseudomonadati; Thermodesulfobacteriota; Desulfovibrionia; Desulfovibrionales; Desulfovibrionaceae.